Molecule: long non-coding RNA, 956 nt
Organism: Nycticebus coucang (slow loris)
Lineage: Eukaryota; Metazoa; Chordata; Mammalia; Primates; Lorisidae
Exons: 4
Source: RefSeq, a predicted model, not a curated record
CUCCCUCCUAGGUGAAGGAAGACGAUACCCCCCCAUCUUCAGUGCCCCCUGCCUUCGCCGCCCAAAACAGACUCCGCCGGCUCCUGCCAGUGCGAUACCAGUGUUUGGAUCCAAGGGAAUUCCGAAACCCAAACGGCUGUCGGGAAGAAGGUCGGCGUCUUAAGUUGCCACUAGGCGGUCAGCCGGUGGGCUGCGCGCAUGCGUUCCACACCUGCUUUCAAAGUCGAGCAAGGCGGGGCCUGAAGCUGUUUUUAGAAACCUUUUGGUGGAUGGGCUCGCUCGGAGCACUUCAAGGUUUAUGAAACCUCUCGGCUCAUCCAUUGCUAUUAUCAUAACCUAAGGAACGUGAGCAUCGUCAUCCCUUCAGUCCCCACACACUCUGUAGCCCGAACACGCGACCGCUUCAGUUAAUGAAUAUUGCAGAGCGGGUAAUAAGCACACCUGAGUGAUUCUUGCCCCCUGCUGGCUGCGCGUUCCAUUCACUUCCUGCUGAAAGCCGCCUGAGUAGUUGGAACAGUUGGAAGUUAGUGUGCACUUCUUAAAGAAUGUGGAGGCUGGGCGCGACGGCCCACCCCUGUAAUCCUAGCACUCCGGGAGGCCAAGACAGGUGGAUUGCUGGAAGUCAGGAGUUCCAGACCAGACUGACCAAGAGCGAGACCCGGCUAUAAAAAACGAGCUGGGCGUUGUGGUGGGUGCCUGUAGCCCCAGCUUCUCGGGUGGCUGACACAAGAGGAUCCCUUGAGCCCAGGAGUUGGAGCUUGCUGUGAGGUAUGAUACCACAGCGCUCUACCCAGGGCUACAUAGCGAGACUGACUCAAAAAGAAAGUAUAUUGGGGGGAAGAUGGGGAGGGGGCUGUUUAAAGUAAGCACAGCAAGAAUGUAAGAAUUAUGAAUCUUCCAACUAGGCAUCUGUAUGCAUAAGUAUGUAUCGUGUGUAUACAUACAUAAAUAUUUUA